Molecule: ribosomal RNA, 497 nt
Filed under: uncultured bacterium
Lineage: Bacteria
Description: partial 16S ribosomal RNA
Rfam family: Bacterial small subunit ribosomal RNA
Source: RNAcentral
GAUGAACGCUGGCGGCGUGCCUAAUACAUGCAAGUCGAGCGAACAGACGAGGAGCUUGCUCCUCUGACGUUAGCGGCGGACGGGGGAGUAACACGUGGAUAACCUACCUAUAAGACUGGGAUAACUUCGGGAAACCGGAGCUAAUACCGGAUAAUAUAUUGAACCGCAUGGUUCAAUAGUGAAAGACGGUUUUGCUGUCACUUAUAGAUGGAUCCGCGCCGCAUUAGCUAGUUGGUAAGGUAACGGUUUACCAAGGCAACGAUGAGUAGCCGACCUGAGAGGGUGAUCGGCCACACUGGAACUGAGACACGGUCCAGACUCCUACGGGAGGCAGCAGUAGGGAAUCUUCCGCAAUGGGCGAAAGCCUGACGGAGCAACGCCGCGUGAGUGAUGAAGGUCUUCGGAUCGUAAAACUCUGUUAUUAGGGAAGAACAAAUGUGUAAGUAACUAUGCACGUCUUGACGGUACCUAAUCAGAAAGCCACGGCUAACUACGUG